This 238-nucleotide unclassified non-coding RNA is filed under the name Hevea brasiliensis (rubber tree). The record is from RNAcentral. Lineage: Eukaryota; Viridiplantae; Streptophyta; Magnoliopsida; Malpighiales; Euphorbiaceae.
CAAUGGCAUUGUGACUGUGGAUGACAAUCGUGUGGGACCAUUAUACAAGCAUGUUUUCCCUCCCAUUUUGGCGCCUUGGCUUUCAUUUGUUGGGUUACCAUGGAAGGUUGUCCCUUUCCCAAUGUUUGAAUUUCAAAGCAAGUGGAUUGCUAGUGUUUUAUCAGGUAGGGUUGCACUUCCAUUGCAAGAGGAGAUGAUGAAAGAUAUUGAAGCUUUCUACCUGUCACUUGAAGCUUCA